UGAGCUGUUGAGGAGACGCCAUGUCUAGGAGACACUGCUUUUUUUAAGUGUGACCUCAAAUUAACCUUGUUUGGACUGCCAAAGGAAGAAGGGACGAAGAAUAAGUGGUUGGAAUUUAUUUUUCGAUACAUUCAUCAGCAAUACAACCCAGACAUUUUACUGUGUUCCCUCUAUUUUCCUAAGGACUGCUUCACAAACUGCAAACAGAUUACUGCUGGAUUUUCACAGCAGUUACUCUUGAAAGAUGGGGCAGUUCCCACUUUGUUGGCAAAUCUGGAGAUUCAGGAUCACAACCUAGUACAUCCAGCAGGGCCCUGGUGCCCAACACCUCUCCACUCCAUCCAGAUUCCAGGAUGUAGGCUGCCAAACAGACCCUCACAAACCGUCUCAGUGGGCACACAGUCUGUGGCAUCUCAAAAGAUGGUAUCCAUCAGCACACAGCUGUACAGGGCUACUCUUAGAGAGCAGCCAGAGAAGCAAAGUAUUUUACAGACUGUAGAUGACCUGAUGAGACUCGUCUUUGUGGAGGUGUUUGAGAACCCAGUGCCAUUUGCUGAGGAGAUACAAAAAAUCCCCAUGCCAAAGGACCUGGCAUCCCAGUAU
Long non-coding RNA from Epinephelus moara (kelp grouper), 603 nucleotides. RefSeq lists it as uncharacterized. The record is from RefSeq and is a predicted model, not a curated record. The transcript has 3 exons. Lineage: Eukaryota; Metazoa; Chordata; Actinopteri; Perciformes; Serranidae.